CACAUCCCUAAACCUGAAAUGUAAAGCAGAACGUGCUCCACUGGCAGGUUAUUGUAGAAUAUGUAAGCACACUGCCAUAUACAUAAUUUAUUUUUGCACUGUUAAUCAAUUUUACAUUUUCACUUAGUGCAGGUUAAUGUAAGGAAGAUACUAGACUACAGAUAUUUAAAUCCUUUUUGAAUGUACUCCACUUCUUCACUGCCUGACCAUCAUCUUAAUGUUUAUGAAGUUCAAUGUUUUUAUUAUUUUUUAUAUCUAAAGCACCUUGUUCAGUAAGUAUUUAGAUGUUUUUCAUAUCUGUCACGGUCUAAGCAUGAUCUGUUUCUGUUGUUCUGAUGAAGGAAGCUUGUGUUGGGGAGGAUUCAGUGUCUGUUGAGGCACAUGUGAAUGUGCUACAAAGUGAGUUUCAGAAACGCAUCCAGACACAUGGACUGUCAAAGACCACACGACAGGAACAUUCUCCUGGAGACGCUGAGAAUGCGCGGAAGGAAUGUCUGUGGAGGAUGUACUCAAAAAAUACACAUACUUUAAGGACACCUGCUGGAGUAUGGUUGACUGGAAGUCUGUCAGUCCAGAUGUGAGGAAGACAUGCAGAGUGGAGCUGGAGCUCAGCAGAUGUGUGAUGCUGUAGAUACUGUGGUUUUGGAAAGAAGGGCAUCUUCACAGCUUUCUAUUCAGACAAAGAGUUUGCUGGAUUCUGUUCUAUGGACUGCUACUACAGAAUGAAUGAAUGAAUGAGUGGUUUAUCUAUCUAUCUAUCUAUCUAUCUAUCUAUCUAUCUAUCUAUCUAUCUAUCUAUCUAUCUAUCUUUUUACUUGAAUUGGUGACUGAAACUGAAAGCUAAAUAAAUGUUUUAGUGGAUAAA
Carassius carassius (crucian carp) is the source of this 865-nucleotide long non-coding RNA. RefSeq lists it as uncharacterized. NCBI's taxonomy places the organism in Eukaryota, Metazoa, Chordata, Actinopteri, Cypriniformes, Cyprinidae. The record is from RefSeq and is a predicted model, not a curated record. The transcript is spliced from 2 exons.